RNAcentral lists this ribosomal RNA (420 nucleotides) under bacterium. RNAcentral describes it as "partial 16S ribosomal RNA". It matches the Rfam family "Bacterial small subunit ribosomal RNA", at positions 355 to 776 of the family's 1533-position model. The record is from RNAcentral.
UGGGGGAUAUUGCACAAUGGGCGAAAGCCUGAUGCAGCGACGCCGCGUGGGGGAUGAAGGCUUUCGGGUUGUAAACCUCUUUCGCUAUCGAACAAGGCCCGCUUAGGGUGGGUUGAGGGUAGGUGGAGAAGAAGCGCCGGCUAACUACGUGCCAGCAGCCGCGGUAAUACGUAGGGCGCGAGCGUUGUCCGGAAUUAUUGGGCGUACAGGGCUUGUAGGCGGCUUGUUGCGCCUGCUGUGAAAACGCGGGGCUUAACUUCGCGCGUGAAGUGGGUACGGGCAGGCUUGAGUGUGGUAGGGGUGACUGGAAUUCCAGGUGUAGCGGUGGAAUGCGCAGAUAUCUGGAGGAACACCGAUGGCGAAGGCAGGUCACUGGGCCAUUACUGACGCUGAGGAGCGAAAGCAUGGGUAGCGAACAGG